CACCGAGAUUCAACAUGGAACGAGUGGCGGACGGGUGAGUAACACGUGGGUAACCUGCCCUUAAGUGGGGGAUAACAUUUGGAAACAGAUGCUAAUACCGCAUAGAUCCAAGAACCGCAUGGUUCUUGGCUGAAAGAUGGCGUAAGCUAUCGCUUUUGGAUGGACCCGCGGCGUAUUAGCUAGUUGGUGAGGUAAUGGCUCACCAAGGCGAUGAUACGUAGCCGAACUGAGAGGUUGAUCGGCCACAUUGGGACUGAGACACGGCCCAAACUCCUACGGGAGGCAGCAGUAGGGAAUCUUCCACAAUGGACGCAAGUCUGAUGGAGCAACGCCGCGUGAGUGAAGAAGGCUUUCGGGUCGUAAAACUCUGUUGUUGGAGAAGAAUGGUCGGCAGAGUAACUGUUGCCGGCGUGACGGUAUCCAACCAGAAAGCCACGGCUAACUACGUGCCAGCAGCCGCGGUAAUACGU
Molecule: ribosomal RNA, 470 nt
Filed under: Lacticaseibacillus paracasei
Lineage: Bacteria; Bacillati; Bacillota; Bacilli; Lactobacillales; Lactobacillaceae
Description: bacterial SSU rRNA
Rfam family: Bacterial small subunit ribosomal RNA
Source: RNAcentral